ACGAACGCUGGCGGCGUGCUUUAGGCAUGCAAGUCGAACGCGAAAGCCCCUUCGGGGGUGAGUAGAGUGGCGAACGGGUGAGUAACACGUGGGUAACCUGCCCCUCGCAGGGGGAUAACCGGGGGAAACCCCGGCUAAUACCCCGUACGCUUGCUGGGGCGCAUGCUCCGGCAAGGAAAGGUAGCUUCGGCCAUCCGGCGAGGGAGGGGCCCGCGGCCCAUUAGCUAGUUGGUGGGGUAACGGCCCACCAAGGCGACGAUGGGUAGCUGGCCUGAGAGGGGGGUCAGCCACACUGGAACUGAGACACGGCCCAGACUCCUACGGGAGGCAGCAGCCAGGAAUCUUGCGCAAUGGGCGAAAGCCUGACGCAGCAACGCCGCGUGGGCGAUGAAGGCCUUCGGGUCGUAAAGCCCUGUUGUCGGGGACGAAGGGCGAAGGGUUAAUAGCCCCUAGCCUGACGGUACCCGACGAGGAAGCCCCGGCUAACUACGUG
This 493-nucleotide ribosomal RNA is filed under the name uncultured bacterium. Its description in RNAcentral is "partial 16S ribosomal RNA". It matches the Rfam family "Bacterial small subunit ribosomal RNA", at positions 29 to 507 of the family's 1533-position model. The record is from RNAcentral.